This 264-nucleotide ribosomal RNA is filed under the name Stenotrophomonas maltophilia. RNAcentral describes it as "partial 23S ribosomal RNA". It matches the Rfam family "Bacterial large subunit ribosomal RNA", at positions 1659 to 1906 of the family's 2925-position model. Lineage: Bacteria; Pseudomonadati; Pseudomonadota; Gammaproteobacteria; Lysobacterales; Lysobacteraceae. The record is from RNAcentral.
ACAGGUGGGUAGGAUGAGAAUUCUCAGGCGCUUGAGAGAACUCGGGUGAAGGAACUAGGCAACAUGGCACCGUAACUUCGGGAGAAGGUGCACCCUUUUUGGUGGCUCGUGCGAGCUAUAGCUGAAGAGGGUCGCAGUAACCAGGCCGCUGCGACUGUUUAUCAAAAAACACAGCACUCUGCAAACACGAAAGUGGACGUAUAGGGUGUGACGCCUGCCCGGUGCUGGAAGGUUAAUUGAUGGGGUCAGCCGCAAGGCGAAGCU